RNAcentral lists this ribosomal RNA (67 nucleotides) under Ziziphus mauritiana (Indian jujube). RNAcentral's name for it is "partial 28S ribosomal RNA". The record is from RNAcentral. Lineage: Eukaryota; Viridiplantae; Streptophyta; Magnoliopsida; Rosales; Rhamnaceae.
AAGACCCCAACUGCGUCGCGGAUGCGGCGUCUCCAACGCGACCCCAGUCCGGGGCGGUUUCCCCUUU